RNAcentral lists this ribosomal RNA (491 nucleotides) under uncultured bacterium. RNAcentral's name for it is "partial 16S ribosomal RNA". It matches the Rfam family "Bacterial small subunit ribosomal RNA", at positions 29 to 507 of the family's 1533-position model. The record is from RNAcentral.
GUGGACGCUGGCGGUAGGCCUAACACAUGCAAGUCGCACGGCAGCACAGUAAGAGCUUGCUCUUACGGGUGGCGAGUGGCGGACGGGUGAGGAAUACAUCGGAAUCUACUUUUUCGUGGGGGAUAACGUAGGGAAACUUACGCUAAUACCGCAUACGACCUACGGGUGAAAGCAGGGGAUCUUCGGACCUUGCGCGAUUGAAUGAGCCGAUGUCGGAUUAGCUAGUUGGCGGGGUAAAGGCCCACCAAGGCGACGAUCCGUAGCUGGUCUGAGAGGAUGAUCAGCCACACUGGAACUGAGACACGGUCCAGACUCCUACGGGAGGCAGCAGUGGGGAAUAUUGGACAAUGGGCGCAAGCCUGAUCCAGCCAUACCGCGUGGGUGAAGAAGGCCUUCGGGUUGUAAAGCCCUUUUGUUGGGAAAGAAAAGCAGCAGGUUAAUACCCCGCUGUUCUGACGGUACCCAAAGAAUAAGCACCGGCUAACUUCGUG